UCCCACACAGCCCUCAGUCCUAAAGGCUGGUCUCACUCCCAUCCUGCCACGCAACAGCACAGGGUCUAUUUCGAGACAGCCAGUGACCAGGGCUGAGAACUUGCCCCAGACCACCAGCCUCCUCACUGAGAAAGCAAGCAGAAUCACAGUUUUUUGGAAUCUCAGGGAGCCUUCAGCGGCAAUCCAGUUCCUUCAAAGGGUCUGUGGAUUCUCUCAGUUUUCAUGAUUCCAGGAACAUGAAGAUAAUGGGAGAGGCAGCCAGUCGGGGGCAAAGAUGCCGUUAAACAGUCAGCCCUGGGCAUGGACGUGCCCCCUCCUACUGAAGUCCUAUAUUCACAUCUUUCUGGGCCUGAUUUCUAAACUGCUUUGCUGAUUUGAUCUGGGGCCCUGGAGUGCCAACAUCCUGUGAUAGCGGCUGAUUGUUGAUGCCUGGGAGGAUACAGCAGUGACGAUCCAAAUUUACAAGACUCAACAUGGUUUUCAAAACUUCCUUUUAAAAAAGAUGUUCCUGAGUUCUGGAAUCUGAACAAAAUAUGUCUGGUUAUUAUAUAAUUCUAAUGGUCCUUGUGGAUGCUACCAUUAGAGUUCAGUUAGUGUCUCAUCUAUCACUGUAAUAUUUGUAUUGUAACACUAAUCGUGGCAAAGUAUGAUUUGAUAAAUGCUCAUUCUCAAA
Long non-coding RNA from Homo sapiens (human), 673 nucleotides. NCBI's taxonomy places the organism in Eukaryota, Metazoa, Chordata, Mammalia, Primates, Hominidae. The record is from Ensembl.